GGGGUGGGCAUGCAAAAGAUUGAAAGGGAUCUUUUGCAAACACAAUCACGUCCUUAAAUGGAAAUGCGGGGCUUGAAACAAAUCUUCCAUCUCUGGCGUCGCAUUCGCCUCAAAAGUGGGCAGUGGGCCGCACGUCGCCCUCCUCGCGGACGCCAAAGUGCUGCCGUUGAACUCGCUUUCCUCUUUCUUCUUCUUCUUCUUCUUCUUCUUCUUCGUGGUUGUCGUCUCGACACACGCCAACCUUCACGCGUGCGUGGUCGAUUUAUUGACAGCGGUGUUGGGGUGCACGUGACAUAUUUGGGGGCGGCUUUGAAAGGUUCGGGUGAAGAUAAGCAGAGGAAUUUCAGGCCAGUGAAUAUGGAUUGGGUCUCGACUUAUAGAGAACAGCACUGAUACCGAGCGGCUGAGUGAGGAGUUGGUGGGCGGGGCCUCCAGCAGUGCACCUGUCAUGAGUUUGACAAUCAGCUGUUUUGGAAGGGCGACUGAGGGAGGUUCUUUUAAUCUUGUUCGGAGCCGAUUCCUGGUUUAUGUUCUCCUUUGUGUCCGUUGUUUCCAGCUGCGGCUAGCUUCGUGUUUUGAGAGAGCACCGUCUGCUAUUUUGCACCAAGCAUUAGCCGCGGAGCUUUCCUCCUGUUCCAUCCUU
Hippocampus comes (tiger tail seahorse) is the source of this 643-nucleotide long non-coding RNA. RefSeq lists it as uncharacterized. The record is from RefSeq and is a predicted model, not a curated record. NCBI's taxonomy places the organism in Eukaryota, Metazoa, Chordata, Actinopteri, Syngnathiformes, Syngnathidae. The transcript has 3 exons.